Molecule: long non-coding RNA, 279 nt
Organism: Pecten maximus
Lineage: Eukaryota; Metazoa; Mollusca; Bivalvia; Pectinida; Pectinidae
Exons: 4
Source: RefSeq, a predicted model, not a curated record
CAUUGCAAAUUCCAGCAGAGUUUGUGGAUGACAGUUAUUCAGAAGAGGAGAAGGACAUGGAACUAUCUGGCCUCAGUGAAAUUUUGGAAAUUCUUGAAAAUGAUGCCCUCGAGGACGAUGACCAGCUUUCCCUGCUUGGCUUUCCAGAUGAUGAUAUGACAUUGAUGUCCAUGAUGGAGGAACAGGUACAGAAAACAAGGACUAUGGGGACCGGUAACCAAAGUGAGACGAAUCAAGUGCAGCCACUCUCUAAAAGUUUCAAUGCCCUAAAACAGGACA